GCAGGGUGUGGUGGUGCACACCUAUCAUCCCAGCUACUCAGGAGGCUGAGGCAGAAGGAUCACUUGAGUCCAGGAGUUCUGGGCUGUAGUGCGCUAUGUCAGUUGGGUGUCCACACUAAAUUUGGCAUCAUUGUGAUUACCUCCCAGGAGCCAGGGACCACCAGGUUGCAUAAGGAGGGGUGAAAUGGCACAAGUUGAAAAUGGAGCAGGUGAGAGCUCCCAUGCUUAUUAGUAAUGGGAUCACACCUGUGAAUAGCCACUGCACUUCAGCCUGGGCAGCAUAGCAAGACCCCUUCUCCU
This is an unclassified non-coding RNA of Gorilla gorilla gorilla (western lowland gorilla), 300 nucleotides long. It matches the Rfam family "Metazoan signal recognition particle RNA". From Rfam's summary of the family: The signal recognition particle (SRP) is a universally conserved ribonucleoprotein. It is involved in the co-translational targeting of proteins to membranes. The eukaryotic SRP consists of a 300-nucleotide 7S RNA and six proteins: SRPs 72, 68, 54, 19, 14, and 9. The record is from Ensembl. Lineage: Eukaryota; Metazoa; Chordata; Mammalia; Primates; Hominidae.